AGAGUUUGAUCAUGGCUCAGAACGAACGCUGGCGGCAGGCUUAACACAUGCAAGUCGAACGCAUCCUUCGGGGUGAGUGGCAGACGGGUGAGUAACACGUGGGAACGUACCUUUCGGUUCGGGAUAACCCAGGGAAACUUGGGCUAAUACCGGAUACGUCCUUAGGGAGAAAGAUUUAUUGCCGAGAGAUCGGCCCGCGUCUGAUUAGCUAGUUGGUGAGGUAAAGGCUCCCAAGGCGACGAUCAGUAGCUGGUCUGAGAGGAUGAUCAGCCACACUGGGACUGAGACACGGCCCAGACUCCUACGGGAGGCAGCAGUGGGGAAUAUUGGACAAUGGGCGCAAGCCUGAUCCAGCCAUGCCGCGUGAGUGAUGAAGGCCUUAGGGUUGUAAAGCUCUUUCGGCGGGGACGAUAAUGACGGUACCCGCAGAAGAAGCCCCGGCUAACUUCGUGCCAGCAGCCGCGGUAAUACGAAGGGGGCUAGCGUUGUUCGGAAUCACUGGGCGUAAAGGGCGCGUAGGCGGCUUUAUAAGUCGGGGGUGAAAGCCUGUGGCUCAACCACAGAAUUGCCUUCGAUACUGUAUGGCUUGAGACCGGAAGAGGUAAGUGGAACUGCGAGUGUAGAGGUGAAAUUCGUAGAUAUUCGCAAGAACACCAGUGGCGAAGGCGGCUUACUGGUCCGGUUCUGACGCUGAGGCGCGAAAGCGUGGGGAGCAAACAGGAUUAGAUACCCUAGUAGUCC
Molecule: ribosomal RNA, 741 nt
Filed under: uncultured bacterium
Lineage: Bacteria
Description: bacterial SSU rRNA
Rfam family: Bacterial small subunit ribosomal RNA
Source: RNAcentral